This is a long non-coding RNA of Octopus sinensis (East Asian common octopus), 183 nucleotides long. RefSeq lists it as uncharacterized. The transcript is spliced from 3 exons. NCBI's taxonomy places the organism in Eukaryota, Metazoa, Mollusca, Cephalopoda, Octopoda, Octopodidae. The record is from RefSeq and is a predicted model, not a curated record.
ACCAGUUACAAAAGACAGAAGCAAAAUAGAUAAGCUGGAAUUAAGUGAAAUUAAUGAAUUUGAAGAUGGUGUUUAUAUUGGUUUUUAAAUUAAUACAUAAAACAACACCUAACCUUGAAUUGUAUGAUAAUGGAUGGGAAUGAGAGAGAGACAGAGAGGCAGAGAGACGGGAAAAGAGGAGAC